CAGUAGCCGCGGGAAAACAGAGGGUGCGAGCGUUAAUCGGAUUUACUGGGCGUAAAGCGUGCGUAGGCGGCUUCUUAAGUCGGAUGUGAAAUCCCUGAGCUUAACUUAGGAAUUGCAUUCGAUACUGGGAAGCUAGAGUAUGGGAGAGGAUGGUAGAAUUCCAGGUGUAGCGGUGAAAUGCGUAGAGAUCUGGAGGAAUACCGAUGGCGAAGGCAGCCAUCUGGCCUAAUACUGACGCUGAGGUACGAAAGCAUGGGGAGCAAACAGGAUUAGAGACCCCUGUAGUCCCUGUCUCUUAUAC
This 301-nucleotide ribosomal RNA is filed under the name uncultured bacterium. RNAcentral describes it as "partial 16S ribosomal RNA". It matches the Rfam family "Bacterial small subunit ribosomal RNA", at positions 509 to 807 of the family's 1533-position model. The record is from RNAcentral.